ACAAAGGCUCUUUUAAGAGCCACUACAAGCACAAUAAAAAGGGCUGU
Manacus vitellinus (golden-collared manakin) is the source of this 47-nucleotide non-coding RNA. NCBI's taxonomy places the organism in Eukaryota, Metazoa, Chordata, Aves, Passeriformes, Pipridae. The record is from Rfam.